GCCUGAGUUGCUCAGUCGGUUGAGCGUCCGACUACGGCUCGGGUCGUGAUCUCGUGGUUUGUGAGUUCGAGCCCCGCGUCAGGCU
Molecule: transfer RNA, 85 nt
Filed under: Felis catus (domestic cat)
Lineage: Eukaryota; Metazoa; Chordata; Mammalia; Carnivora; Felidae
Rfam family: tRNA
About the family: Transfer RNA (tRNA) molecules are approximately 80 nucleotides in length. Their secondary structure includes four short double-helical elements and three loops (D, anti-codon, and T loops).
Source: Rfam by way of RNAcentral